This 445-nucleotide ribosomal RNA is filed under the name uncultured bacterium. RNAcentral describes it as "partial 16S ribosomal RNA". It matches the Rfam family "Bacterial small subunit ribosomal RNA", at positions 354 to 796 of the family's 1533-position model. The record is from RNAcentral.
GUAAGGAAUAUUGGUCAAUGGGCGCAAGCCUGAACCAGCCAUGCCGCGUGCAGGAAGACGGCCCUAUGGGUUGUAAACUGCUUUUGUCAGGGAAUAAACCCCCGCUCGUGAGCGGGGCUGAAGGUACCUGAAGAAUAAGCAUCGGCUAACUCCGUGCCAGCAGCCGCGGUAAUACGGAGGAUGCAAGCGUUAUCCGGAUUCAUUGGGUUUAAAGGGUGCGCAGGCGGAUUGGUAAGUCAGGGGUGAAAUCCCACAGCUCAACUGUGGAACUGCCUUUGAUACUGUCAGUCUAGAGUAUAGUUGAAGUUGGCGGAAUGUGUCAUGUAGCGGUGAAAUGCUUAGAUAUGACACAGAACACCGAUCGCGAAGGCAGCUAGCUAAGCUAUAACUGACGCUCAUGCACGAAAGCGUGGGGAUCAAACAGGAUUAGAAACCCGAGUAGUCC